This 1800-nucleotide ribosomal RNA is filed under the name Triticum aestivum (bread wheat). RNAcentral describes it as "partial small subunit ribosomal RNA". The record is from RNAcentral. Lineage: Eukaryota; Viridiplantae; Streptophyta; Magnoliopsida; Poales; Poaceae.
AUGCUAAGUGUCAUGGAACAUGGAGAAAAGCUCUCUGGAAUGAUCCAUCUGAGAGAAUUACAAAAUGCGCUUAGCCAGCAGAGUUCAAGCACACGUUUAUCACCUCAGUCCAAAACCCCAACUGCUGGUGCACUGUGGAAUCUCAUUCAGCUGGUUGGUGAGAAAGCUCGACGGAACACUGUUCUAUUAAUGGAUCGUGAUAAUGCUGAAGUUUUCUACAGUAGAGUUUCUGAUAUAGAGGAUCUAUUUUAUUGUUUGUCGCAUCAACUUCGGUAUAUUAUAACCGGAGAAGAACACCCAUCUGUUCAGAUGCAACGUGCACUUGAGUUAUCAAAUGCUUGUGUGACCUUAGUUCAGGCAGCAUUGCACUACAGAGCGGAGUACAAGGACUGGUAUCCUUCUCCUGAAGGACUGAUAACAUGGAACAGUCAGCCUGUAGUGCGGUCUGGAAUCUGGAAUCUGGCAUCAUCUGUGAUGGAGCUUUUGAGAGAACCAGGAUCUGCAGGCAUGCCAAUGAAAUCUAAUCUAUGGUCUCAGCUGGAAGGACUCACACAUAUACUGCUGGAGGGAUAUAUUGGUCUAUUAACUGCCAAAUUUGAACGCGGGGAGGACCAUGGUGUGCUAGCCCAAGAAUACUGUGAACGGAGAGAUGAGCUUCUUGGAUCCCUUUAUGAUCUUGCAAAGCAAAUUAUAGAAGCAAAAUAUCAGGAGUCAAGUGAAGGCAAUGACAAUCCUGAUCUGAAAGAAUCUAUAUUUAGAGAGGUCACUUCUCCUAUUUUGGCAACAGCUAAACGGCAUGAAGGGUACCAAACGUUGUGGCAGAUUUGCUAUGAUAUCAGUGAUACUGUUCUCCUCCGCAAUCUUAUGCAUGAUAGUAUAGGACCUCACGGGGGAUUCAGUUUCUACGUUUUUAAACAGCUAAUCAGCAGCGGGCAUUACGCUAAGCUGUUAAGGCUGGGAGAAGAAUUCCAGGAAGAGCUGGCUAAUUUUCUGAAAGACCGUAGCGAUCUUUUAUGGCUUCACGAGAUAUGCUUAAAUCAGUUCUCAACUGCUUCAGAGACUCUUCAUACCUGUGCUCUGCUUUCAAGUCCUGGAGAAGAUGCUGACCUAACAAGCACCAGAAAGUCGCUGUCCUUUGUUGAAAGAAGACGUCUUCUCUAUCUCUCUAAAAUGGCUGCAACAGCAGGUAAGGAUGUUGAUUAUGAAGUGAAGGUUGCACAGAUAGAUGCUGAUAUCCGGAUUCUAAAUCUUCAGGAAGAGAUUGUUCAGCAUGAUCCAGAAUAUGCACAGGGCAAACAUGCAAGCAAGCUUCUUCCGCCAUCAGAACUGAUCGAGAUGUGCAUGAAGAGAGGCCGCGAGCUUUCUCUCAAAGCCUUCGAAGUAUUUGCUUGGAUAGGCUCCUCAUUCCGAAGCUCCAACAAAGGCCUUCUAGAGGCUUGCUGGACGAACACAGCCGACCAGGAUGACUGGGUCGAGCUCUCACAGGCAUCAGUUUCAGAAGGCUGGAGCGACGAGGUCAUCCAAGAAUCUCUCCAAGGAACGGUCCUCUUCAACGCUUCGAGGCUGUGCUACAGCUCGGACGCGGAGGUGUUCGACGGCACGUUCGAGGAGGUGCUCCCCGUGAGGAAAGAGGACGUGCAAGCGAGAGGCCUGGAGGCCAAGUGCUUCUCGGUGGAGGAGGUGCUGAUGCAGCACGACGCUUUUCCGGACGCCGGUAAGCUGAUGAUGACGGCGGUGGUCAUGGGCAAGGAGCUAUCCUAUGCUGCCCCGGCAGAUGAGCCUGUGGACAUGGACUCGUGA